CGGACGAUUUAAAAGCCGCAAAUGUAUAACUGUAGACAGAUAUUUGGAAUAUCAAUGAGACAAACUGACGACGAGAUCAAUUUAUGUAAUUAUCUUUCAAUAAUAUAAAACUUAUAAUAAAUCGUAAACUAAGAUUUCACAUUGAAGACUUUAGAUAUCGAUUUCCGAACAAUUGUUAAAAUUUGUUAAAAAUUGUAUAAGGGCCCGGGAGUUCAAUCGGGAUGAAUCUGUAGGUAGUAAACGGUUCGCAUCAAAACCGUAUUGGAAUGUUAAUAACAAACGACUUGGAAAGAUAUAUCGGUAAAAUCAGGAUCGCAGCUAUGCAUUGAUAAUGACGUGCUCUCACAUUUUGUUGACAAAAAUGUAAAAUAUCAUAAAAACGUGCCCCGGAUUUAGGUCAGUUAGU
Non-coding RNA from Cinara cedri, 406 nucleotides. NCBI's taxonomy places the organism in Eukaryota, Metazoa, Arthropoda, Insecta, Hemiptera, Aphididae. The record is from the annotation of a GenBank genome assembly.